Long non-coding RNA from Cynoglossus semilaevis (tongue sole), 581 nucleotides. RefSeq lists it as uncharacterized. The record is from RefSeq and is a predicted model, not a curated record. The transcript is spliced from 2 exons. Lineage: Eukaryota; Metazoa; Chordata; Actinopteri; Pleuronectiformes; Cynoglossidae.
CGUAGGCUAACCCUGGCCCAGCAGGAAGUUGCGUAUGUGUCAUUUCUUCAUUCAGUCACGGUAUGUGAGUGGAACAUUUCCCAUUUACAUUUGAUUCGUCUAAUUGAUCGUAACCAAAUUAAGCUACUGUGACAUCGGAGGUCCUUGAAUCAACAGCCUGUGAGAAUCAGCAAUGAAGUGAGGCGGGCCACCCACAACAACAUCCCAGAGGCAACAGGUUUUCCUUGAAGCAGCCUCACAGUGCCCUCUAGUGGACAAAGUCAACAACUGACAGCCAUCCUCCGUUUGGGAGUUUGCUGCAUGUCGCUGUUUAAGACUAGUGAUCUGUUAUGUUAUCAGUAUUUAUAGUUUGUUUACAGAUACAGGCCGUAAAAUGGCGCUAACCUUUGUUCGGAGGACGUGUAGUUAGUUGCACGUUGCUAGCAGCCGGAGCCUCCUGUCUCCCCACGGUGAGGAGCAGCGGAGGAGCAGCAGUGCUUGUGGGGCUCAGCAGCACCGGAGGAAGCACAGCGUGGAUACGAGGAGUUCAGCAAAGUCGCAGCGAAAGUUAAACUUUGUUGGGUGGAAGACUAAAAAAAACC